GACGAACGCUGGCGGCGUGCUUAACACAUGCAAGUCGAACGGAAAGGCCCUGCUUUUGUGGGGUGCUCGAGUGGCGAACGGGUGAGUAACACGUGAGUAACCUGCCCUUGACUUUGGGAUAACUUCAGGAAACUGGGGCUAAUACCGGAUAGGAGCUCCUGCUGCAUGGUGGGGGUUGGAAAGUUUCGGCGGUUGGGGAUGGACUCGCGGCUUAUCAGCUUGUUGGUGGGGUAGUGGCUUACCAAGGCUUUGACGGGUAGCCGGCCUGGGAGGGUGACCGGCACCAUUGGGCUUGGGAUCCGGCCCGACCCCGUAGGGGAGGAAGAGGGGGGGAAUAUUGCCCAAGGGGCGGAAGCCGGAUGCAGCAACGCGGGUUGCGGGAGGACGGCCUUCGGGUUGUAACCCGCUUUCGCUUGGGACGAAGGGUGAGGGAGGUAAUGGGUAAAGAAGCACCGGCUAACUACGUG
Molecule: ribosomal RNA, 467 nt
Filed under: uncultured bacterium
Lineage: Bacteria
Description: partial 16S ribosomal RNA
Rfam family: Bacterial small subunit ribosomal RNA
Source: RNAcentral